GUUUCUGUAGCUGUAGCGGUUAUCACGUUCGCCUCACAUGCGAAAGGUCCCCGGUUCGAAACCGGGCAGAAACA
Non-coding RNA from Xenopus laevis (African clawed frog), 74 nucleotides. NCBI's taxonomy places the organism in Eukaryota, Metazoa, Chordata, Amphibia, Anura, Pipidae. The record is from the annotation of a RefSeq genome assembly.